AAUCAAAGAACCAGAGAUCAGCUAUUGUUUUUUUCUGUUUAUUUUCUGUAGCAUCCUCACUGGAACUUCUCCAACUCAUUCUGGCAGGUUGGGUUUCCAAAACAGCUCCCUCAGCUCCAAGGUUCAUCGAAGUCCA
Molecule: long non-coding RNA, 136 nt
Filed under: Monodelphis domestica (gray short-tailed opossum)
Lineage: Eukaryota; Metazoa; Chordata; Mammalia; Didelphimorphia; Didelphidae
Description: lncRNA (ENSMODG00000045853.1)
Source: RNAcentral